UCUUUUGUUUAUUGAUAUAAGGUCUAACCUGCCCAAUGAUUAUAAUUAUUGAAUGGCCGCGGUAUAUUAACUGUGCUAAGGUAGCAUAAUCACUUGUCUUUUAAUUGAAGGCUGGAAUGAAUGGUUGGACAAGAUGCAUACUUUCUUUGAUUUAUUCGUUGAAUUUAAUUUUUUAGUUAAAAAGCUAAAAUUUUUUUGAGGGACGAGAAGACCCUAUAGAUCUUUAUAUUUUUAUUUAUUAUAUAUUUUAGUGUUUAUUUAUUAUUUUAAUAAAUAAAUUUAUUUGGUUGGGGUGACUGUAGAAUUUAAUUAACUUCUAUUUUUAUUUUUCAUUAAUUAGUGUACAAUUGAUCCAAUUUUUUUGAUUAAAAGAUUAAG
This 378-nucleotide ribosomal RNA is filed under the name Arilus cristatus (wheel bug). RNAcentral describes it as "partial large subunit ribosomal RNA". The record is from RNAcentral. Lineage: Eukaryota; Metazoa; Arthropoda; Insecta; Hemiptera; Reduviidae.